GAUGAACGCUGGCGGCGUGCUUAACACAUGCAAGUCGAGCGGUGAAGCGACUUCCUUUUUGGUGGGAGUGGAUGGGCGGCGAACGGGUGAGUAACACGAUAGUCACCUGCUACCUCCUUCUGGAUAACCGGAAGAAAGUGUUGAUACUACGGGAUAUUCUGGACCUGUUGCUUCAUGAGUCUAGGAAAGUUUUUGUUUCGGUUGGGGAUGGGCCCGCGGCGUAUCAGCUUGUUGGUGAGGUGAUGGCCUACCAAGGCGGUGACGGGUAGCCGGCCUGAGAGGGUGGACGGGCACGCAGGUGAUGAGCCGUCGAGCCGCCUCCGACGGGAAGCAGCAGGGAGGAAUCCGGCACGAGCGGCGGCAUGCUGAUGCAGCGACGCCGGGGUGAGGAAGGUGUUCGUCUGGUUGUGAUCCGCUUUCGCCGGAGAAGCAGGCCGGCCGCGUUUGUGGGUGGGUUGACGGUAGCUGGAUAAGAAGCGCCGGCUAACUACGUG
RNAcentral lists this ribosomal RNA (494 nucleotides) under uncultured bacterium. RNAcentral describes it as "partial 16S ribosomal RNA". It matches the Rfam family "Bacterial small subunit ribosomal RNA", at positions 28 to 507 of the family's 1533-position model. The record is from RNAcentral.